Apis florea (little honeybee) is the source of this 743-nucleotide long non-coding RNA. The record is from RefSeq and is a predicted model, not a curated record. Lineage: Eukaryota; Metazoa; Arthropoda; Insecta; Hymenoptera; Apidae.
GGAACAAAUUUCAUAACGUAAAUUACUUUUAAUUAAAAAUAUUCACCUGUACAUGCGUCUAUUUUUUCUCUCUCAUUUUCAACAAACGAUGCCAUUACAAAAUACUUAUUAACGCGAUUCGUUAGCAACUGAAACAAAUAUAUUUCGUUGGAUUUACAAUUAGUAAUAAUAUGUGAUAUACGAAAGGGUUAAUUAAUUAAGUACGUAUCGAUUGGCCGGAAGAUAGUCUGCAUCGUGUAACAUGAGCUUUGCUCCAACAUGAAAUCAGGGGGGAAAGAGGAGUAGCGGUGGGCGGGGGGUAGUCAACCUGCUCGUGUCAGUGAUUCUCAUUUCGUUCGCUAUAUCUUGUCAAAUUGUCUUUUCAUUUAUACAAAUGAAAUUCGAUUUCGACCCGUUUCAAUGUUUGAUCACCAUCCGAGCUCGAACCCUUUAGAGAUCACGAUAAGAUAACAAGUGUAGAGGAAUACGACUCCAUCCUUUUCCAUCGUUCUCAUGAGCACCGUCGUAAAUUCCAAAUAAUAAUGCAUUGUACGAGCUGGCGUGUUUUGUUUCUGAAUAAGCACACUCUUGCACGUUUGCAUAAUUCGAUACGCGUCGGGGUUUACAUUGUAUUUUAAUUAUCUUCAUUACGUUACAACUUGUACAAAGUAUUUCUCCGUUGAAAUUGGAAUGCAAAUAAACGUUAAGAUAGUUAGAUGAAUAGAAAAAAUAUAUAUAUAUAUAUAAAAUUCUUUGUUACUCUA